AGAGUUUGAUCAUGGCUCAGAACGAACGCUGGCGGCAUGCCUAACACAUGCAAGUCGAACGCGGGGCUUCGGCCCCGAGUGGCGCACGGGUGAGUAGCGCGUGGGAACCUGCCCUUCAGUGGGGGAUAACCGAGGGAAACUUCGGCUAAUACCGCAUGCGCCCGGAGCAAUCCGGGGAAAGAUUUAUCGCUGAAGGAGGGGCCCGCGUCGGAUUAGCUAGUUGGUAGGGUAACGGCCUACCAAGGCUUUGAUCCGUAGCUGGUCUGAGAGGAUGAUCAGCCACACUGGGACUGAGACACGGCCCAGACUCCUACGGGAGGCAGCAGUGGGGAAUAUUGGACAAUGGGCGAAAGCCUGAUCCAGCAAUGCCGCGUGAGUGAGGAAGGCCUUAGGGUUGUAAAGCUCUUUCGGCGGGGACGAUGAUGACGGUACCCGCAGAAGAAGCCCCGGCUAACUUCGUGCCAGCAGCCGCGGUAAUACGAAGGGGGCGAGCGUUGUUCGGAUUUACUGGGCGUAAAGGGCGCGCAGGCGGUCAUUUUUGUCGAGUGUGAAAGCCCCGGGCUUAACCUGGGAACUGCGCUCGAAACGGGAUGACUAGAGAUCGGGAGAGGAGAGUGGAAUUCCCAGUGUAGAGGUGAAAUUCGUAGAUAUUGGGAAGAACACCGGUGGCGAAGGCGGCUCUCUGGACCGAUACUGACGCUGAGGCGCGAAAGCGUGGGGAGCAAACAGGAUUAGAUACCCCAGUAGUCC
RNAcentral lists this ribosomal RNA (750 nucleotides) under uncultured bacterium. RNAcentral describes it as "bacterial SSU rRNA". It matches the Rfam family "Bacterial small subunit ribosomal RNA", at positions 8 to 796 of the family's 1533-position model. The record is from RNAcentral.